RNAcentral lists this ribosomal RNA (485 nucleotides) under uncultured bacterium. Its description in RNAcentral is "partial 16S ribosomal RNA". It matches the Rfam family "Bacterial small subunit ribosomal RNA", at positions 30 to 506 of the family's 1533-position model. The record is from RNAcentral.
AUUGAACGCUGGCGGCAUGCCUUACACAUGCAAGUCGAACGGCAGCACGGGUGCUUGCACCUGGUGGCGCGUGGCGAACGGGUGAGUAAUACAUCGGAACAUGUCCUGUAGUGGGGGAUAGCCCGGCGAAAGCCGGAUUAAUACCGCAUACGAUCCACGGAUGAAAGCGGGGGACCUUCGGGCCUCGCGCUAUAGGGUUGGCCGAUGGCUGAUUAGCUAGUUGGUGGGGUAAAGGCCUACCAAGGCGACGAUCAGUAGCUGGUCUGAGAGGACGACCAGCCACACUGGGACUGAGACACGGCCCAGACUCCUACGGGAGGCAGCAGUGGGGAAUUUUGGACAAUGGGCGAAAGCCUGAUCCAGCAAUGCCGCGUGUGUGAAGAAGGCCUUCGGGUUGUAAAGCACUUUUGUCCGGAAAGAAAUCCUUGACUCUAAUACAGUCGGGGGAUGACGGUACCGGAAGAAUAAGCACCGGCUAACUACGU